GUUUUAAUAGUUUAAAUUAAAAUAUUGAUUUUGUAAAUCAAAGAUGAGAAAAUCCUUUUAAAACU
This 65-nucleotide transfer RNA is filed under the name Arge aurora. RNAcentral's name for it is "Arge sp. CSCS-Hym-MC0179 tRNA-Thr". It matches the Rfam family "tRNA". From Rfam's summary of the family: Transfer RNA (tRNA) molecules are approximately 80 nucleotides in length. Lineage: Eukaryota; Metazoa; Arthropoda; Insecta; Hymenoptera; Argidae. The record is from RNAcentral.